AGUUAAUUUUUUAAUUAAUGGGACCUGGUCAGUGGUAUUAAAUAAAGCUUAAAUCAAUAUUAAACACAUGCCUUAGCGUGAGGGUAAUAAAGUAGCAUAAUCAACUGUCAUUUAAUUGAUGACCUGUAUGAAUGGUGAAACAAUUCUAUUAUUGUCUCAGCAAUAAGUUUUUUGAAAUUACAGUUAGAGUGAAUAUUCUCUAAACCAUUUAUUAGACGAUAAGACCCCUUAAACCUUUACUAUAAACUGCUGUUCUAGCUGUUUGGUAGUUUGAUUGGGGCGAUCAUUUUUUAUAAAAACAAAAAUAAAUAAAAGCUUAAUGCAUCAUUACUUAAUAAAAGUAUAUUUAUAAACAUAAUUUAUUUAUAAGCUUAUGACCAUAAAAAAUUUUAUAUGAUUAAUAAAAGGUACUUAGGGGAUAACAGCGUAAUUUUUAUUAUUAGAAGAUAUAAUGAUAAAAGCUUGCGACCUCGAUGUUGAAUUGAAGCUUCCCAAUAUUGCAGAAGAUAUUAAAGGUUGGAUUGUUCAUCCAUAAAAGCUUU
RNAcentral lists this ribosomal RNA (542 nucleotides) under Cunina octonaria. RNAcentral's name for it is "partial large subunit ribosomal RNA". It matches the Rfam family "Bacterial large subunit ribosomal RNA", at positions 1836 to 2597 of the family's 2925-position model. Lineage: Eukaryota; Metazoa; Cnidaria; Hydrozoa; Narcomedusae; Cuninidae. The record is from RNAcentral.